UGCGCAGGACGGGCGAUCGCCGGUCAGGAACUUCGGUUCCUGACGAGAGGAAAGUCCGGGCUCCACCUUAGCAGGAUACUGGUUAACGACCAGGCGUCGGAUGUGCUCUUGAGUAUUUGAAAAACUGCAAGAGAGCCGCCAUCGGGCGACGGAAAGUGCAACAGAAAAUAUACCGCCUCGGGCUUCAUGAAAGUGAGGUUCGCGGUAAGGGCGAAACGGUGGGGUAAGAGCCCACCGCGUUUCCGGUGACGGAAAUGGCACGGCAAACCCUAUCCGGAGCAAGGCCAAAUAGGGAAGCGCUUGAGGUCUGCUCGACCGAUGCUUCCGGGUUGGGCCGCUUGAGGCCCGCGGUAACGCGGGCCCUAGAGGAAUGAUCGCCUCCGCCCCUUCAUGCGUGAAGGGGCGAAGACAAAACCCGGCUUACAGUCCUGCGCAAUUU
RNAcentral lists this RNase P RNA (439 nucleotides) under Bdellovibrionales bacterium GWB1_55_8. Its description in RNAcentral is "RNase P RNA component class A". It matches the Rfam family "Bacterial RNase P class A". From Rfam's summary of the family: Ribonuclease P (RNase P) is a ubiquitous endoribonuclease, found in archaea, bacteria and eukarya as well as chloroplasts and mitochondria. Its best characterised activity is the generation of mature 5'-ends of tRNAs by cleaving the 5'-leader elements of precursor-tRNAs. The record is from RNAcentral. Lineage: Bacteria; Pseudomonadati; Bdellovibrionota; Bdellovibrionia; Bdellovibrionales.